This 183-nucleotide small nuclear RNA is filed under the name Sorghum bicolor (sorghum). RNAcentral describes it as "snRNA U2". It matches the Rfam family "U2 spliceosomal RNA". Rfam says of the family: U2 is a small nuclear RNA (snRNA) component of the spliceosome (involved in pre-mRNA splicing). Complementary binding between U2 snRNA (in an area lying towards the 5' end but 3' to hairpin I) and the branchpoint sequence (BPS) of the intron results the bulging out of an unpaired adenosine, on the BPS, which initiates a nucleophilic attack at the intronic 5' splice site, thus starting the first of two transesterification reactions that mediate splicing. The record is from Rfam by way of RNAcentral. Lineage: Eukaryota; Viridiplantae; Streptophyta; Magnoliopsida; Poales; Poaceae.
AUCUUUUGGCUAAGAAAGAUGAGAAGAAAACAUCAAGUGUAGUAUAUGUUCUUAUUAAUUUAAUAUCUGAUGAUACACGGACCAUGUGUCCACUUCGAUAUUAAAUUUAUUUUUCACAGGGUAGAGUCCACAACAAUGGCUUGUCAUUGGAGUCCUUUAGUGUCACCCAGCGACGCAGUUUUU